Molecule: ribosomal RNA, 327 nt
Filed under: uncultured eukaryote
Lineage: Eukaryota
Description: partial 18S ribosomal RNA
Rfam family: Eukaryotic small subunit ribosomal RNA
Source: RNAcentral
CCCUUAGAUGUUCUGGGCUGCACGCGCGCUACACUGAUGCGCUCAACGAGUUUAUGACCUUGCCCGGAAGGGUUGGGUAAUCUUCUUAAAACGCAUCGUGAUGGGGAUAGAUUAUUGCAAUUAUUAAUCUUCAACGAGGAAUUCCUAGUAAGCGCGAGUCAUCAGCUCGUGCUGAUUACGUCCCUGCCCUUUGUACACACCGCCCGUCGCACCUACCGAUUGAAUGGUCCGGUGAAGCCUCGGGAUUGUGGCCAGUUCACUUUAUUGGGAGUUGGCUGCGAGAACUUGUCUAAACCUUAUCAUUUAGAGGAAGGUGAAGUCGUAACA